RNAcentral lists this ribosomal RNA (747 nucleotides) under Triticum aestivum (bread wheat). RNAcentral's name for it is "partial small subunit ribosomal RNA". The record is from RNAcentral. Lineage: Eukaryota; Viridiplantae; Streptophyta; Magnoliopsida; Poales; Poaceae.
AUGAAGGUGGCCUCCGGAGACCCCGCUGAGUUCCGGAGGCGCGAGGAGACGUUGACCCUGGAAGCCGCAGAGCGCGCUCACGAGUACGAGCGGCUGGAGACGAGGGAGCGCCUGGUGACACGGGCGGAAGACGAUGUUGCCGCUCGGGAAGCGCGUCUUCUGGAAGAAGUUGGCCGUCGGGUGGCGAUAGCGCGUCGAAGCAUUGAGCACGAGUUUGAGGGGAGGCUGGAGCUGAUCCGGAUCGAGGCCGAGGGGAGAACCGCGGCCCUGAGGACCCAACGGGACGAAGCGAUGCAGCGGGCCGACGCCUCCCAGGCCGCUCUCGAGGCGGCACGAAAGGAGUUGACCGCUUCUCAAGCCGAGGUGCUCCUCCUCCGUCAGCGUGUGGAGGAUGCUGAGGCCGUUGGGCGCCGGAACACCGACGAGAUACGCCAGCGGCAGGUCCUAGAGCAUGUGCACGCUCCCAUGCUCGCCGUACUCAGGGCGCGGGCCAACGUGGCCUUGGGCAAUAUCUGCGAGGCGGCUGUUGACGAGCCGCGCACGACCAACUACGCCGGCAACGUGCAGUUCUUCACUGCUGUGGUGAUGCAGUUGGAGGAGCGAUCGGGCAGGGCAGGUAGGUUGGUGGAGGAGAGGAGCCGCGCCUUGCUCAAGCGCGCCUUCUCCCGUGUCUUCAGCCAUCUUCAGAACGAGAACCCCCACUUCGACUUCAACGCCGCCAUUGCCCCAGUCCCCCAGGCCAUCUGA